GAUGAACGCUAGCGAUAGGCCUAACACAUGCAAGUCGAGGGGCAUCACAUGAAGUAGCAAUACGGAUGGUGGCGACCGGCGCACGGGUGAGUAACACGUAUGCAACCUGCCUUCAACAAGGGGAUAACCCGUUGAAAAACGGACUAAUACCCUAUAACACAGGGGUCCCGCAUGGGAAUAUUUGUUAAAGGACAACCGGUUGAAGAUGGGCAUGCGUUCCAUUAGCUAGUUGGCGGGGUAACGGCCCACCAAGGCAACGAUGGAUAGGGGAACUGAGAGGUUUAUCCCCCACACUGGUACUGAGACACGGACCAGACUCCUACGGGAGGCAGCAGUGAGGAAUAUUGGUCAAUGGACGCAAGUCUGAACCAGCCACGUCGCGUGAAGGAAGACGGCCCUACGGGUUGUAAACUUCUUUUAACGGGAAUAAAGUGCCCCACGCGUGGGGUUUUGCAUGUACCGUAUGAAUAAGGAUCGGCUAACUCCGUGCCAGCAGCCGGGUAAGUCACACUACA
RNAcentral lists this ribosomal RNA (515 nucleotides) under uncultured bacterium. RNAcentral describes it as "bacterial SSU rRNA". It matches the Rfam family "Bacterial small subunit ribosomal RNA", at positions 28 to 536 of the family's 1533-position model. The record is from RNAcentral.